ACCAGUGGCGAAGGCGGCUGUCUGGUCUGUAACUGACGUGAGGAGCGGCUCAUGGGUAGUGAACAGGAUUAGAUACCAGGAAGACAUGCCCUAAACGAUGAGUGCUAAGUGUUGGAGGGUUUCCGCCCUUCAGUGCUGCAGCUAACGUUCCAUAACACUCCGCCUGGGGAGUACGACCGGAAGGUUGAAACUCAAAGGAAUUGACGGGGGCCCGCACAAGCGGUGGAGCAUGUGGUUUAAUUCGAUGCUACGCGAAGAACCUUACCAGGUCUUGACAUCUUCUGCCAAUCUAAGAGAUAAGACGUUCCCUUCGGGGACAGAAUGACAGGUGGUGCAUGGUGUCGCCAGCUCGUGUCGGGAAUGUUGGGUUAAGCUCUGCUAUGCGCAACCCUUAUUAUUAGUUUCCAGAUUCAGUUGGGCACUUUGUGAGACUCCGGGACAAACCGGAGAAAGUGGGGAUGACGUCAAAUCAUCAUGCCCUUAUGACUUGGGCAUAA
This 497-nucleotide ribosomal RNA is filed under the name uncultured Lactobacillales bacterium. RNAcentral describes it as "bacterial SSU rRNA". It matches the Rfam family "Bacterial small subunit ribosomal RNA", at positions 708 to 1218 of the family's 1533-position model. The record is from RNAcentral. Lineage: Bacteria; Bacillati; Bacillota; Bacilli; Lactobacillales.